This 472-nucleotide ribosomal RNA is filed under the name uncultured bacterium. Its description in RNAcentral is "bacterial SSU rRNA". It matches the Rfam family "Bacterial small subunit ribosomal RNA", at positions 355 to 825 of the family's 1533-position model. The record is from RNAcentral.
UGGGGAAUUUUGGACAAUGGGCGCAAGCCUGAUCCAGCCAUGCCGCGUGAGUGAAGAAGGCCUUCGGGUUGUAAAGCUCUUUCGGCGGGGACGAAACGGUUCGUGACAACACCACGGACUAAUGACGGUACCCGCAUAAGAAGCACCGGCUAACUACGUGCCAGCAGCCGCGGUAAUACGUAGGGUGCAGGCGUUAAUCGGAAUUACUGGGCGUAAAGCGUGCGCAGGCGGUUUGUUAAGACAGGUGUGAAAUCCCCGGGCUUAACCUGGGAAUUGCGCUUGUAACUGGCAGGCUAGAGUGUGGCAGAGGGGGGUAGAAUUCCACGUGUAGCAGUGAAAUGCGUAGAUAUGUGGAGGAAUACCGAUGGCGAAGGCAGCCCCCUGGGAUAACACUGACGCUCAUGCACGAAAGCGUGGGGAGCAAACAGGAUUAGAUACCCGGGUAGUCCCUGAGCGGGCUGGCAAGGCGCAU